GCUGGGCAUGGUGGCGCAUGCCUGUAAUUACAGCAGCUCAGGAGGCUGAAGCAGGAGGCUCACAAAUUCGAGGGCGGCCUCGGCAAUUUAGCAAGAUCCUAAGUAAUUUAGUGAGACCCUGUCUCAA
This 127-nucleotide small RNA is filed under the name Marmota monax (woodchuck). Lineage: Eukaryota; Metazoa; Chordata; Mammalia; Rodentia; Sciuridae. The record is from RNAcentral.